Molecule: long non-coding RNA, 517 nt
Filed under: Equus caballus (horse)
Lineage: Eukaryota; Metazoa; Chordata; Mammalia; Perissodactyla; Equidae
Description: lncRNA (ENSECAG00000053788.1)
Source: RNAcentral
UGUAGACUGAGUUGUGUCCCCUGAAAAUUCAUAUGUUGAAGAUCUUAUCCGCUAGGUAACUGUAUCUGGGGAUAGAGUCUUUAACCAGUAACGACCUCUCAUAAGAGGUCAUAAAUAUGGCGGCCGGCAUGUGCAUCUGAGAGGACUGGCAUCUUUCUCUCUCUCUCUGCCCUGUGAGAACACAGUGAGACGGCGACCGUCUGCAAGCCAGGAAAAGAGCUCUCAUCAGACACCAAACCCUGCGGACCUUCAUUUUGGACUUCCAGCCUCCAGAACUGAGGCAGUAAACAGAACAUGAAGCAAAGAAUAAUGAAAACAGGAUGGCGUGUCUAUAUUCUUCUGAAUUGUGGCACCAACUACACACAAAUCACAGCCUGAAACACUGAAGACCUUGGAUGCUUGCUUUGUUUAUGAACUAGAUAGAGUGCUAAUUUUCUGCUUUUCAGGAGAAUAAACAGAUGUUUAUGAGAGAAGUAUACUCAAUUGCGGUAAAGACCCAUCACAAAAUGACUUUCCC